AGUAGCCGCGGUAAUUCCAGCUCCAAUAGCGUAUAUUAAAGUUGUUGCAGUUAAAAAGCUCGUAGUUGAAUUUCGGGGUUAGCAGGUCGGUCGUGCCAUCGGUAUGAACUGGUCUCGCUGAUCCCUCCCUCUUGACGAACUGUGAUGCCAUUAAUUUGGUGUCGCAGGGAAUCAGGACUGUUACUUUGAAAAAAUUAGAGUGUUUAAAGCAGGCUCACGCUUGAAUACAUUAGCAUGGAAUAAUGAAAUAGGACGUUUGAUUCUAUUUUGUUGGUUUCUAGGAUUGACGUAAUGAUUAAUAGGGAUAGUUGGGGGCAUUAGUAUUCAAUUGUCAGAGGUGAAAUUCUUGGAUUUAUUGAAGACUAACUACUGCGAAAGCAUUUGCCAAGGAUGUUUUCAUUAAUCAAGAACGAAAGUUAGGGGAUCGAAGACGAUCAGAUACCGUCAUAGUCUUAACCAUAAACUAUGCCGACUAGGGAUUGGAUGAUGUUAAUUUUUUUAAUGACUCAUUCGGCGCCUU
Molecule: ribosomal RNA, 520 nt
Filed under: uncultured Glomus
Lineage: Eukaryota; Fungi; Glomeromycota; Glomeromycetes; Glomerales; Glomeraceae
Description: SSU rRNA
Rfam family: Eukaryotic small subunit ribosomal RNA
Source: RNAcentral